UACGUGGGGACCAAGCGUUGUCCGGAUUUAUUGGGCGUAAAGAGCGCGUAGGCGGCUCUCCACGUCGGAUGUGAAAGCUCAGGGCUCAACCCUGAGAUGCCAUUCGAUACGGGAAGGCUAGAGGUAGGUAGGGGAAAGUGGAAUUCCUGGUGUAGCGGUGAAAUGCGCAGAUAUCAGGAGGAACACCGGUGGCGAAGGCGGCUUUCUGGGCCUUACCUGACGCUGAGGAGCGAAAGCUGGGGGAGCGAACAGG
RNAcentral lists this ribosomal RNA (253 nucleotides) under uncultured bacterium. RNAcentral's name for it is "partial 16S ribosomal RNA". It matches the Rfam family "Bacterial small subunit ribosomal RNA", at positions 524 to 776 of the family's 1533-position model. The record is from RNAcentral.